Molecule: ribosomal RNA, 388 nt
Filed under: uncultured bacterium
Lineage: Bacteria
Description: bacterial SSU rRNA
Rfam family: Bacterial small subunit ribosomal RNA
Source: RNAcentral
AUUGAACGCUGGCGGCAUGCCUUACACAUGCAAGUCGAACGGUAACGGGUUAAGCUGACGAGUGGCGAACGGGUGAGUAAUGUAUCGGAACGUGCCCAGUCGUGGGGGAUUACGUAGCGAAAGCUACGCUAAUACCGCAUACGAUCUAUGGAUGAAAGCGGGGGAUCGCAAGACCUCGCGCGAUUGGAGCGGCCGAUAUCAGAUUAGGUAGUUGGUGGGGUAAAGGCCCACCAAGCCGACGAUCUGUAGCUGGUCUGAGAGGACGACCAGCCACACUGGGACUGAGACACGGCCCAGACUCCUACGGGAGGCAGCAGUGGGAAUUUUGGGACAAUGGGCGCAAGCCUGAUCCAGCAAUGCCGCGUGCAGGAUGAAGGCCUCGGGUUGU